UGCGCGAAAGCCUGACCCAGCAACGCCGCGUGAUUGAAGAAGGUCUUCGGAUUGUAAAGAUCUGUCCUAUGGGACGAAGAAGUGACGGUACCAUAGGAGGAUGCCCCGGCUAACUACGUGCCAGCAGCCGCGGUAAUACGUAGGGGGCGAGCGUUGUCCGGAAUUACUGGGCGUAAAGGGUGCGCAGGCGGCGUGCUAAGUCAGAUGUGAAAUAUNCGGGCUUAACCUGGAGGGUGCAUUUGAAACUGGCAGGCUUGAGUGCAGGAGAGGAAAGUGGAAUUCCUAGUGUAGCGGUGAAAUGCGUAGAUAUUAGGAGGAACACCAGUGUCGAAGGCGACUUUCUGGACUGUAACUGACGCUGAGGCACGAAAGCGUGGGGAGCAAACAGGAUUAGAUACCCUGGUAGUCCACGCUGUAAACGAUGGAUACUAGGUGUAGGGGGCGAUAGCUCUCUGUGCCGCAGCAAACCCAAUAAGUAUCCCGCCUGGGGAGUACGAUCGCAAGGUUGAAACUCAAAGGAAUUGACGGGGGCCCGCACAAGCAGCGGAGCAUGUGGUUU
Molecule: ribosomal RNA, 559 nt
Filed under: uncultured low G+C Gram-positive bacterium
Lineage: Bacteria; Bacillati; Bacillota
Description: bacterial SSU rRNA
Rfam family: Bacterial small subunit ribosomal RNA
Source: RNAcentral